Molecule: long non-coding RNA, 350 nt
Organism: Liolophura sinensis
Lineage: Eukaryota; Metazoa; Mollusca; Polyplacophora; Chitonida; Chitonidae
Exons: 3
Source: RefSeq, a predicted model, not a curated record
UGUGUGGUGAAAAUACGCUGUGUUUCAACAUUUCUGGAGGUUAUCAGUGUCGAUGUGAGGAGGGAUAUCAAGGGAACGCCACGGAUGGUGGGAAUUGCUCAGACAUAGACGAGUGUACUGAUGGGAAGUCAGUUUGUGCUAACAACACAGUUUGUUUCAACUUACCGGGUAGUUACGACUGUCGUUGUCAGGAAGGAUACCAGCGAAACAAUUCCGAGCGUGGAGACUGUAUAGAUACUGACGAAUGUACAACGGGUCGGACGACAUGUGGUGAUAACACGGAGUGUGUCAACUUGCUGGGGGGAUACGAAUGUCGGUGUCGAGAGGGAUACCAUGGAAACCUUACCAAC